RNAcentral lists this ribosomal RNA (266 nucleotides) under uncultured archaeon. RNAcentral describes it as "partial 16S ribosomal RNA". It matches the Rfam family "Archaeal small subunit ribosomal RNA", at positions 714 to 982 of the family's 1478-position model. The record is from RNAcentral.
AGGUCACUGACAUUAGAUACCCGCGUAGUCCAGGGUGUAAACGCUGCAGACUUGGUGUUGGAGGCCCUUUGGGGGCAUUCAGUGCCGGAGAGAAGUUGUUAAGUCUGCUACUUGGGGAGUACGUCCGCAAGGAUGAAACUUAAAGGAAUUGGCGGGGGAGCACCGCAACGGGAGGAGCGUGCGGUUUAAUUGGAUUCAACACCGUAAAACUCACCAGGGAAGACUGUUACAUGAAGGCCGAGAUGAAGACUCUGCUAGAUUUUCAG